This is a non-coding RNA of Sus scrofa (pig), 1271 nucleotides long. Lineage: Eukaryota; Metazoa; Chordata; Mammalia; Artiodactyla; Suidae. The record is from RefSeq and is a predicted model, not a curated record.
UUUUUUGGCUUUUUUGUAGGGCCACACCCAUGGCAUAUGGAAGUUCCCAGGCUAGGGGUCCAGUUAGAGCUCCAGCUGCCAGCCUGUGCCACAGCCACAGCAACAUGGGAUCCAGGUCAUGUCUUUGACCUACACCACAGCUCAUGGCAACACUGGAUCCCCAACCCACUGAGUGAGGCCAGGGAUCGAACCUGCAUCCUCGUGGAUACGCGUCAGAUGUGUUUCCACUGCACCCCACUGGGAACUCCACUGCUGUUUUUGAAUUCACCCAUCCAAUUCUGCUCAAAAACAGUUUUCUCAAUCAGUUCACUAAAAAAAAUGGAUGAUGAGUUUCUUAUGGGAGACUAAGCACCAUCUGACCACAGCAACAAAGGCAGGGAGGGGUUCCCUUGUGGCUCAGUGGGUUAAGGACCUGGCAUUGUCAGUGCUGUGGAUCAGGGGGUUUGAUCCCUGGCCCAGGAACUUCUGCAAGUAGCGGGCACUGACAAACAAACAAACAAACAAAACCAAAAAACAAAGGCAGGGAGACAGUUCUUCCAGACAAAGGCACUCACAGACCACUGGGCAGUGGAAAUAAAUGCCCGGAUAAAAAAUCCACGAUGCCCAGUUACAUUAGACCCUCAAGGAAGCAAUGGAUCAUCUUUGACUCAAAGAAUCCUUAUAUGGUAGAGGCUCAACGGUGAAUAUUUUCCGCAGUUCAUCCUGAACGCGAGGUAAACCGAGGUCCAAAGAAUCCAUCAACAUAAUGCAACAUGUUCACCAAUAAAAGGAAACAAAGCAGGCACAGGAUCACCUUGUUAUCAAAUUGAUCCCCUGGACCCAUGCCCGGGGCCCGACCCAGGGGCUGACUCCUUGUCUCAGCCAGGCAGGUUCUAUUUUUUUUUUUAAUUAAAAUAUAGUGGAUGGACAAUGUUGUGCCAACUUCUGCUGUACAGCAAAGUGAUCCAGUCAUAUAUAUAUAAAUUCUUUUUCUCGUAUUAUCUUCCAUUAGCUUUUAUCCCCAGAAACUGGAUCAAGUUCCCUGCAGGGAGAUCCUUUUCCCACUUGGAUUCGAGCCUAUAAGGAAACAGUGCUGAGACUGGAACAGCACAAAUUUCAUUCAACGGCCAGAGAAGGGAGAAGCAGGAACUUAAUUUGCCAAUCAGCCUCUCAACCCAAUUCAGCCUCCUCCCGAAACUUCCGUAGGAGCAACUGGUUUCUGUUGAAGAGAGGGGCAGGGGUGUCAUUCUGGGGCACCAGCCUUGGUAAAAACCUCCGUAUGCCUGGUAAAA